GUUCUUAUAGUUGAAUAACAACAGUGGUUUUUCAAGUCACCAGUUCUGGUUAAAGUCCAGGUAAGAAUU
Molecule: transfer RNA, 69 nt
Filed under: Desmodema polystictum (polka-dot ribbonfish)
Lineage: Eukaryota; Metazoa; Chordata; Actinopteri; Lampriformes; Trachipteridae
Description: tRNA-Glu
Rfam family: tRNA
About the family: Transfer RNA (tRNA) molecules are approximately 80 nucleotides in length. Their secondary structure includes four short double-helical elements and three loops (D, anti-codon, and T loops). Further hydrogen bonds mediate the characteristic L-shaped molecular structure. tRNAs have two regions of fundamental functional importance: the anti-codon, which is responsible for specific mRNA codon recognition, and the 3' end, to which the tRNAs corresponding amino acid is attached (by aminoacyl-tRNA synthetases). tRNAs cope with the degeneracy of the genetic code in two manners: having more than one tRNA (with a specific anti-codon) for a particular amino acid; and 'wobble' base-pairing, i.e. permitting non-standard base-pairing at the 3rd anti-codon position.
Source: RNAcentral